AACUCGCUCUGUAGACCAGGCUGGC
Molecule: non-coding RNA, 25 nt
Filed under: Cricetulus griseus (Chinese hamster)
Lineage: Eukaryota; Metazoa; Chordata; Mammalia; Rodentia; Cricetidae
Also listed under: 1 other name
Source: RNAcentral